GGAGAAUGUGGGAGUUAGGAGAACUUCCUGGAAGGCAAAUCUUAAAGACCAGUAGUCACGGAAUGAAGAAGGAGUUCUGGGAGAGGUAAAACAAAGAAGUUCUGAAGAAAAGGAUGGAUGGAUAAAUGAAGUUAUUUCUUCAUUGUUUGGACCUCAGCAAGCUCAGCAUAUUUAAUUUGAAGGAAUGAAUGGAUAAAUUCCUAUUAUUGUCCAAAUCCAAGAGAGCUGCUGGUUUCUUGGACUCCUGAGAUCCUUUGGUCAGCUCAGCUCAUUCAUUCAUUCAACUUCGAACUGAUUUUUGCUUUGUACCUUGGCAUCCUCAGUGAAUAACUAAGCCCUUGACAAUCAGAGCUUGCUUGGCUCUUGGAAGAGGAGGGGAUUCUGCUGAGCUCUGAUGGAUGGCUCAGACCUUAGCUUGGAGAGAAGAGAGGGGAUUUGUGCAAGGGAAUCUGCUUGGCUGGACAUUUCCUCCAGGACUUUCCAAUGGGCAGAC
Heterocephalus glaber (naked mole-rat) is the source of this 493-nucleotide non-coding RNA. The record is from RefSeq and is a predicted model, not a curated record. Lineage: Eukaryota; Metazoa; Chordata; Mammalia; Rodentia; Bathyergidae.